Molecule: transfer RNA, 76 nt
Filed under: Fervidobacterium nodosum Rt17-B1
Lineage: Bacteria; Thermotogati; Thermotogota; Thermotogae; Thermotogales; Fervidobacteriaceae
Description: tRNA-Thr
Rfam family: tRNA
About the family: Transfer RNA (tRNA) molecules are approximately 80 nucleotides in length. Their secondary structure includes four short double-helical elements and three loops (D, anti-codon, and T loops).
Source: RNAcentral
GCCAGCGUAGCUCAAUCGGUAGAGCGACGCAUUCGUAAUGCGCAGGUUAAGGGUUCGAGUCCCUUCGCCGCCACCA